This 315-nucleotide long non-coding RNA is filed under the name Mustela putorius furo (domestic ferret). Its description in RNAcentral is "lncRNA (ENSMPUG00000025266.1)". The record is from RNAcentral. Lineage: Eukaryota; Metazoa; Chordata; Mammalia; Carnivora; Mustelidae.
UUAUGUAUUAAUGUGAUUGACUUAAAGGAUGCCUAAUAUCUGGUAAAUUGUUGUUUCUGGGUAUGUCCAUGAAGAUGUCCCUGGAAGAGACUAGCAUUUGAAUCAGCAGACUGAUGAAGACCAUCCUAAACAAUGCAGACGGAGAUCACAGAGAAGCAGGCAGAGAGAGGAGGAAGCAGGCUCUCUGCUGAGCAGAGAGCCCGAAGUGGGGCUCGAUCCCAGGACUUUGGGAUCAUGCCCCGAGCUGAAGGCAGAGGCUUUAACCCACUGAGCCACUCAGGUGCCCCAAAACAUUGUUCCUUUGAUGACAACUUG